GGGCGAUUAGCUCAGUUGGGAGAGCGCCAUCCUCACACGGUGGAGGUCGCAGGUUCGAGCCCUGUAUCGCCCA
RNAcentral lists this transfer RNA (73 nucleotides) under Hydrogenobaculum sp. Y04AAS1. RNAcentral describes it as "tRNA-Val (CAC) (tRNA-Val-CAC-1-1)". It matches the Rfam family "tRNA". From Rfam's summary of the family: Transfer RNA (tRNA) molecules are approximately 80 nucleotides in length. Their secondary structure includes four short double-helical elements and three loops (D, anti-codon, and T loops). Further hydrogen bonds mediate the characteristic L-shaped molecular structure. tRNAs have two regions of fundamental functional importance: the anti-codon, which is responsible for specific mRNA codon recognition, and the 3' end, to which the tRNAs corresponding amino acid is attached (by aminoacyl-tRNA synthetases). tRNAs cope with the degeneracy of the genetic code in two manners: having more than one tRNA (with a specific anti-codon) for a particular amino acid; and 'wobble' base-pairing, i.e. permitting non-standard base-pairing at the 3rd anti-codon position. Lineage: Bacteria; Pseudomonadati; Aquificota; Aquificia; Aquificales; Aquificaceae. The record is from RNAcentral. RNAcentral also lists the same sequence under 1 other name.